Molecule: non-coding RNA, 5755 nt
Organism: Podarcis lilfordi (Lilford's wall lizard)
Lineage: Eukaryota; Metazoa; Chordata; Lepidosauria; Squamata; Lacertidae
Source: the annotation of a GenBank genome assembly
GGCACAUCUCGUCCAGGAAAGGGGAGUGAUUUGGAGAUAUAGGUAAAAGGAGGCACAAUGCAGGUAUGUCUAAAAUAAUACACAGUGGAGAGAAAGUGGAUGGAGUUUUUCUCCUUUUCAUUACUAGAACUCAGGGGCAUCCAGACAGAAGUUGGGAGAUUCAAGACAGACCAAUUUAAGUGCUUCGUCAAGCAGCAGAGUUAAACUGUGGAAUUUGCUCUCAGCCUUCAUACCCUCCAACAUUUCUCCAAUAAAAUUUUUGUUGUUUAGUCGUGUUCGACUCUUUGUGACCCCAUGGACCAGAGCACGCCAGGCACUCCUGUCUUCCACUGCCUCCCGCAGUUUGGUCAAACUCAUGCUGGUAGCUUCAAGAACACUGUCCAACCAUCUCAUUCUCUGUCGUCCCCUUCUCCUUGUGCCCUCCAUCUUUCCCAACAUCAGGGUCUUUUCCAGGGAGUCUUCUCUUCUCAUGAGGUGGCCAAAGUAUUGGAGCCUCAGCUUCGCGAUCUGUCCUUCCAGUGAGCACUCAGGGCUGAUUUCCUUCAGAAUGGGUAGGUUUGAUCUUCUUGCAGUCCAUGGGACUCUCAAGAGUCUCCUCCAGCACCAUCAAAAGCAUCAAUUCUUCGGCGAUCAGCCUUAUUUAUGGUCCAGCUCUCACUUCCAUACAUCACUACUGGGAAAACCAUAGCUUUAACUAUACGGACCUUUGUUGGCAAGGUGAUGUCUCUGCUUUUUAAGAUGCUGUCUCGGUUUGUCACUGCUUUUCUCCCAAGAAGCAGGCGUCUUUUAAUUUCGUGACUGCUGUCACCAUAUGCAGUGAUCAUGGAGCCCAAGAAAGUAAAAUCUCUAGCUGUCUCCAUUUCUUCCCCUUCUAUUUGCCAGGAGGUGAGGGGCCCAGUGGCCAUGAUCUUCGGUUUUUUGAUGUUGAGCUUCAGACCAUAUUUUGUGCUCUCCUCAUUCACCCUCAUUAAAAGGUUCUUUAAUUCCUCCUCACUUUCUGCCAAUAAAAAUAGGGACGUCCUAUUCCAUGAUAAUUAUAUAUUUUAUUAUUUAUACCCCACCCAUCUGACUGGGUUGCCCCAGCCACUCUAGGCAGCUUCCAACAUAUAUAAAAACAUAAUAAAACAUUAUUUAUUUAUUUUUUAUUUAAAAAAGCCUUCCCUAUACGGGGCUGCCUUCAGAUGCCUUCUAAAGGUUGUAUAGUUUUCUCCUUGGCUCGGGGGUCGCAUAACUCCAUACCCUCCAAUGAAAAUAGGAGACAUCCUACCAUACCCUCCAACAUUUCUCUAAUGAAAAUAGGAACCUCAUAAGGAAAAGCAGGACAUUCUGGGAUCAAAUCAGAAACCAGGAGGGCUUCUGUAAAUAUGGGACUGUCCCUGGAAAAUAGGUACCCUUGGAAGGUCUGAAAUUUUGGAUGGCUUUAAAAGAGGAUUUAGCCAAAUUCACGGCUGCUAAACCUGAUACCUUCUCCUGGAGUGUUUUUGCCAUGCUAAGGUGUCUCUUUGAACUAGGAUACCGUAUUUUUCUGUGUAUAACACACCCCCAUGUAUAAGACGCCCCCUAUUUGGGGGGACUCCAAAUUAAGAAAAUGGGGGGAAAUGCCCAGAGUUGUUGAGCUUUUUGGGGGGGGAGGGUUGACAAAAACUGCUCACCCGACAGAACUACGAUGCCACUCACGCGCAUCACAAACACCUCCAAUCCACUGUCCCAUUGCCGGCAUAAGCCACCAAUCGCCCGCCCAAUUGCUGCAGCAUCAGACAAUCAAGCCCAGCCCUUACUCAAAAUAGUUGAGUGGAUGCUCUAUGGUUCCUGGAAACAACAUAUAACACGUCCCCCCCAAUGAACUACCUGUGUAUAAGACGAGCCCAAAAUUUCAACGCUAUUUUAAUUUUUUUAAAACCCCUAGUGUUAUACAUGGAAAAAUACGGUAAUUCAUUUGCUUGGAUGGAGAAUCGAGAGGGAUGCAAGCGUAGAAACUAGCCUGUUGUAGAGAGGUAAAAUUAGCAUCCAUUGCGACACCCACUUUGGAUUCUACCUCCACCCACCACUAGCACUUGUGUCCAUCCACACACACACACCCCUCCAAAAGUUGCCUGGACUGGAAUGGGCCAAAGAAGAUUCCCCCACCUGUUUGCUAUUCUAAGCACCUCAGGGCAGGGGCCUGUUCUCCUGGACUUUCGUAAAACACUGUGCAUAUUUGAUGGCACAAAUGAGCAUUAAUCGCUGCCGUGCACUCGGUCAUUGGCGAGCUGUAAAGGUAAAAGGAAGGGACGCGGGUGGCGCUGUGGGUAAAACUUCAGCGCCUAGGACUUGCCGAUCGCAUGGUCGGCGGUUCGAAUCCCUGUGGCGGGGUGCGCUCCCGUCGUUCGGUCCCAGCACUUGCCAACCUAGCAGUUCGAAAGCACCUCCGGGUGCAAGUAGAUAAAUAGGGAUCGCUUACCAGCGGGACGGUAAACGGCGUUCCGUGUGCUGCGCUGGCUCGCCAGAUGCAGCUUGUCACGCUGGCCACGUGACCCGGAAGUGUCUGCGGACAGCGCCGGCUCCCGGCCUCUAGAGUGAGAUGAGAGCACAACCCUAGAGUCUGGCAAGACUGGCCCGUACGGGCAGGGGUACCUUUACCUUUAAAGGUAAAGGGACCCCUGACCAUUAGGUCCAGUCAUGGCCGACUCUGGGGUUGUGGGCUCAUCUCGUUUUAUUGGCCGAGGGAGCCGGCGUACAGCUUCCAGGUCAUGUGGCCAGAAUGACUAAGGCGCUUCUGACAAACCAGAGCAGCGCACGGAAACACCGCUUACCUUCCCACCGGAGUGGUACCUAUUUAUCUACUUGCACUUUGACGUGCUUUCAAACUGCUAGGUUGGCAGGAGCAGGGACCGAGCAACGGGAGCUCACCCCGUCGUGGGGAUUUGAACUGCCAACCUUCUGAUCAGCAAGUCCUUGGCUCUGUGGUUUAACCCACAGCGCCAUCCGCAUCCCUUGGCGAACUGUAGGCCAUGCAAAUGCAGCAGAGUGUGUUUUUCCACCUGGAGUCUGGAAAGCCACAACGGUCUCAGAUGUAAGCAAUACAUGUUUAAUUCUGACAAGCCAUUUCUGACAAGCCCCACCUUUCCAUGGCUUGCCGGCCACCACAAUUCUGCAGCAAGGGGCAGGGGAAAGGGCACAGAUACAGAGCAUUAUGAUACAACGGUACAAAUGAUAAAUUAUACCCAUACAAUGAAAAGGUCAACAGCACAAGUUCAAAUCGAAAGUAACCUGCUCUCAACAUGUUAGAAAACAGCCUGUUAAAUUUGUAUCUAUGGGUGUGCAUUACCACUUGAGAGUGUGUGCAUGUUUUCGCCGUUAAAAAUUAAACUAGAUAUGCCUCCGCAGCUGACAACAAUGUUAAUAAAGAGUACAGGAUGCAUUAAAAAUGGCAACAGCCAUAGGGAAAGGAGUAGCCUUUGUAACAGUUGUCUUGAGAUAAUUUGAGUGGGCCCCAGCGGGCAAAAAACUAGAGGCUCCCCACCUGUACAGUAUUGUAUGGUUCUGUUUGGGAAUACAGGCAGGCCCCUCCGUUACACAUGUACCAUAGGUGGUGCGACCAUGUAUACAUGCAUCACACCAAACCUGGAAGUGACCCGGAAACGGACAUAAAAUAUGUCACUAAAAAGGUGGGCCAAAAUGGAGCGUUUGCAAACUUUUUCAAUUGCAUGUGAUUUCAUGGAAGCGUGCAAUGACCCAGAACACAAAUCCCGCGAAAAUCGGGCAUUGCCUGUAUAGAAGAAACAGUGCCCCAUCUCAGGUUGUUAAGAGAUGUUUCUCUACAAUGUCAAGUCAAUAUGUUUUUGUGAUCGGAGCAAAAUGGCAUGCUUAGGAAAAUGAUAAAUGAGAACAUAAUUUAUGAUUUUUUAAAAAUGUGGCUUAAAAAAAAAAAGCCUUUAAAUGAUGAUUUAAAGUUCUCUUGACUUAAAAUAUCAAAAACCAGCCUCUUGUUCUCGACCUGCUCCAAACCCUGGCUGAGCAAAGAACUGUCAGCAGCAACACGCCCUUGAGCCCUGUUAAGGCAGGAUGAUUUGCUCCAGGGAAGGAGGGCAGAGCGCCAUAGCUCUCCACCUAUUCUGGCCCCCAGUGGGAUCCGGGCACUUGUCUGCUCUGGUAAGAAGUUACUUGUACGCAUGAACAAACUUUUAAAUGUCUCAAAAGAGGCGUUUUUACUGCAUUGUCACGGGGAACGGACAGUUGAGUAGCAGGCAGCCUCGAGUCCCCUUCUGCAUGAGGAAUCGGCUGCAUGCCCCUUUGCCUCCAUGCUAUUUGACUUUAAGCAGUGGCUUCCCACAAGGCGUUGCUGCAGAGAAGAGGCAAAACUGCACCGGCACCGCAGCGCGACUCCUGCUCCCUUCCAGCGGCAUUCUGGCGGGCUGCGAUUCUGCUAGGACACAAUGCAAAACAUCUUUGAGCUGGUCGCACACCACACUUCAGCUUUGAGUAGCAGAAUGUUAACAACCGCAUCGCCUUUUUCGAGGGCUUAAAAUGACACAAUGGUUUCACAAAAUCUUUGGUCAACUUGACCAGUAAGGCUGUUUUUCGAUACCCUUUCUUUCAAAAGCAUUAAAUUGCUUUAUUUGAAGAAGAUUGCCAGGGGUGUGGGUGUGUGUAGCCAGGAGAGAAAGAGAGACAAGAAGCGUCAGAAAACAGAUGUGUGUUUUUUAAUCUACACUUCAUGUUUAUUUAAGAAAAGCAUUACCUUGAGCAGGAAACAUUUGGAAUACGGAUGGCUAAGAUGUUUUAUUUAUUUAUUUUUCAUAUUUUAGGAAAACCCCUUGAAUGUGGAUCGAGACCUGUCCCAUGAUGUAAGCAUGACCAAAUGUGUCAAUUUCAAUUUCUCUCGUUUUUCUGAUAUUAACUUUGGUCUGCCCCAUUUUCUCACCAGGGUGCAAUUUUUAUAAAUCCUGCACAAAAAUGUGAUUGCGUUUUUGUGCACGCCUUCCUCCAUGUAAUAUUUUUUUUUCCCAAUUUUCAAAUAAUUCCCCCUAUCGCAAUGCAUUUUUGUGUGUGUCAUUUUUUUCCAAAUAUAGACAUCGCAGUGUCCGCUUUCCCCCAUAAAUGCAUUUCUGAACAUUUUUGGGUUGUGGAGAACUACAUCAGAAAAUUCAGCGAGAGCAAAUCUUGAAGGAUGGCUGUGUUUCAGUUCGCAAGUUGGUUCUGGAAAUGUGACGAGCUGUAAACUGGACCAAUUUCCUCCACCACCUCCCUUUGCCUGUCAGGAUGAGCCCCACCCCCUCCCCCACCCCAACCCCAACCGAAGAAAGCAUAGCCAACAAGCAGGAAAUACACCAACAUUGGGCUGAAACAUACUUGGUUCCGCUCCCAUUUGCUGUAACAUGUUCUGGAGGCCAAGUUCCUAAGUUCUGGCCUGGGACUAGAACUCCAAACCACCUGGGUUCUUCAUAGCAUCUCCACUGUUGUUCAAAGAGCUAACUUUUGUUGAGGCCUGUUGGACGCACGGGAGAGAUCCAGAAUCUCUGGGCUAAGAAAAUGAAAAGUCACCCGGUGGGGGGGGGGGUGAGAAGGUUAGGCUUAUACAGCCACAGAAAUCCUGGCAAGUAGCUGCUUUAUCUGCAUUAGCCUCAAGACUUCCACUAGCAUUUCUCAAUAUGAUUGCAGGCUCCUUAAUGCCACUGUUGUCACGAUCUUCGAGCAAAAGCUUAUGAACCGGGUACCUCGACACUCUGGUCUGAUGCUGGAGGUGUCACCCAGCCUCUGCCCACCUGUCUCAGUG